GUGCUCACUUUGGUAACACAUUUACUAAAUCUGAAGCGAUACAGAGAAGAUUAGCACUGCCCUUACAUGAGAAUGACAUGCCAAUUUCUGAAGAAUUCCAUAUUUUA
Small nuclear RNA from Peromyscus maniculatus bairdii (prairie deer mouse), 107 nucleotides. The record is from Ensembl. Lineage: Eukaryota; Metazoa; Chordata; Mammalia; Rodentia; Cricetidae.